UAAAAGAUUUUAAUAUCAGGACUGACAAUGU
This 31-nucleotide non-coding RNA is filed under the name Mus musculus (house mouse). The record is from RNAcentral. Lineage: Eukaryota; Metazoa; Chordata; Mammalia; Rodentia; Muridae.